GACGAACGCUGGCGGCGUGCUUAACACAUGCAAGUCGUACGGUAAGGCCUUUCGUGGUACACGAGUGGCGAACGGGUGCGUAACACGUGGGUGAUCUGCCCUGCACUUCGGGAUAAGCCCGGGCAACUGGGUCUAAUACCGGAUAGGACUGCGCGGUGCAUGCCGUGUGGUGGAAAGUUUUAUCGGUGCAGGAUGGGCCCGCGGCCUAUCAGCUUGUUGGUGGGGUAAUGGCCUACCAAGGCGACGACGGGUAGCCGGCCUGAGAGGGCGACCGGCCACACUGGGACUGAGACACGGCCCAGACUCCUACGGGAGGCAGCAGUGGGGAAUAUUGCACAAUGGGCGCAAGCCUGAUGCAGCGACGCCGCGUGAGGGAUGACGGCCUUCGGGUUGUAAACCUCUUUCAGCAGGGACGAAGCGUGAGUGACGGUACCUGCAGAAGAAGCACCGGCCAACUACGUG
RNAcentral lists this ribosomal RNA (462 nucleotides) under uncultured bacterium. RNAcentral's name for it is "partial 16S ribosomal RNA". It matches the Rfam family "Bacterial small subunit ribosomal RNA", at positions 28 to 507 of the family's 1533-position model. The record is from RNAcentral.